RNAcentral lists this unclassified non-coding RNA (1100 nucleotides) under Dendronephthya gigantea. RNAcentral's name for it is "neuralized-like protein 4, transcript variant X2". Lineage: Eukaryota; Metazoa; Cnidaria; Anthozoa; Malacalcyonacea; Nephtheidae. The record is from RNAcentral.
CAAUGGGGUUUGUUUCAGCCAAAAACCUCUCAAACUUGGCGAUGUUUUUCAACUACGGAUUAACGAAAUGGACUUAAAAUGGGCAGGAUCUUUGGUAAGACAUUAAAUGGGGGUACUAAAAAAAAGCGCAAUAGGAGAACGUUUGAAAUUUUUCGGGUUUUAUCUAUUACGAAUGACGCGUGUGUUUUCAUUGCAUGCCUUCUCGAGUUCUGUAUUAGGGACAAAGAUCAACAAUGGUAUACUCAAGCGUUUUUCCGAAGCAUAUUAGGUCUGAUUUUGAUUUUAAUUUGAAGAAAAGAAACGUAAUUUACAAUCCUAGUUACACGGUAAUUGAACAUGAAGGUUGAAUUACUAUUUAAUAAGACAACGAACAAGUGUUAUUAAGUAAUGACACACCGUGAAAUGAAGUCAGGUUCAUGUACAUUGUCAAAGAAAAAGAUCUCUGAUGCAUAAAAUAAGUGUCUGUAGAACUUUCCGAAAAGCUUUCCACAUUUAUAAAACAUUCAGCGUAAUAUGCUGCGCAAUUAUAUCUUAUCAAGUUUUUGAAUGGCACAAUGUCCACUCAACGAUCUUUAUUCCGCUAUCAUUAACUUAAAAGUUUAUUUUAAAAUUUGUAUAGGAUGGGAAUUCAUGAUGACUUUCACUGGGAAGCAAUUUUGGGAUUGCCAAUAGCAUAUGAAGGGCUUUUCACUUGCCUUAAACCCAGGGUUUGUCGGCAAGUCGGUUUCAUGGUCACAGACUUGUUGCUGCAUUGCAUAGAGCACACAUCCCCCCUUCAGUUCUGCACUUCUCUAUGAUGACACAAAGUUUUGAAAGCUUUUGAGUGUUAAUUCUUGCAUUCACAAACCAGUCUGAAAUUGCAGCAUGAAAGCGACUUGUUGACAACCCCUACCUCCCCAAAAUAAGGCAAAGAUUGGCAAAGAUUGAAACGGACAUAAUACAAAAAACCACGGUGUGUGAGGCCCAAUCCAAGUACCGUGAUCUGUUGCAGAGUAUCUGGCUAAAUAGAGACUGGGAAUAACAACGUGCAACCCUGACCAGUCGUCCGUCAACAUUGUCAGGGCAGCAACAGAUCUUUUUAGCGACGAUUUUAAAGAUUU